AAUGAACGCUGGCGGUAGGCUUAACACAUGCAAGUCGGACGGAAACGACAUAAAUAAUCACUUCGGUGUGCGUUUAUGGGCGUCGAGUGGCGGACGGGUGAGUAAUGCCUGGGAAUCUACCCUAAUGUUGGGGACAACGUAUGGAAACGUACGCUAAUACCGAAUAUGCUCUACGGAGUAAAGGAGGCCUCUACUUGUAAGCUUUCGCAUUAGGAUGAGCCCAGGUGAGAUUAGCUAGUUGGUGAGGUAAUGGCUCACCAAGGCGACGAUCUCUAGCUGGUUUGAGAGGAUGAUCAGCCACACUGGGACUGAGACACGGCCCAGACUCCUACGGGAGGCAGCAGUGGGGAAUAUUGCACAAUGGGCGAAAGCCUGAUGCAGCCAUACCGCGUGUGUGAAGAAGGCCCGAGGGUUGUAAAGCACUUUCAAUUGUGAGGAAGGUUCAGUAGUUAAUACCUGCUGUUCUUGACGUUAACUUUAGAAGAAGCACCGGCUAACUCUGU
Molecule: ribosomal RNA, 503 nt
Filed under: uncultured Gammaproteobacteria bacterium
Lineage: Bacteria; Pseudomonadati; Pseudomonadota; Gammaproteobacteria
Description: bacterial SSU rRNA
Rfam family: Bacterial small subunit ribosomal RNA
Source: RNAcentral